CGCCUCUUGACUAAAUAUAAGAGGUCCAGCCUGCCCAGUGACUAAUGUUCAACGGCCGCGGUAUCCUAACCGUGCGAAGGUAGCGUAAUCACUUGUUCUUUAAAUGGGGACUUGUAUGAAUGGCAUCACGAGGGUUAUACUGUCUCCUUUUUCCAAUCAGUGAAUCUAAUCUCCCCGUGAAGAAACGGGGAUACAACUAUAAGACGAGAAGACCCUAUGGAGCUUUAAAUACCUCUUCAAACGUUGGACCUUUCCCCCCCCCAGUUUUUAACUCACUUAUAUUAACCCUGAACGCCAUGAAGACAACUUUUAGGUUGGGGUGACCGCGGAGAACAACAAAACCUCCACGCUGAAUCAGACUUUCUAAGCCUGAACUAAGAGCCACCGCUCAAUGCACUAAAAAAUUAACAUCUAUUGACCCAAUACAUCACUUGAUCAACGAACCAAGUUACCCUAGGGAUAACAGCGCAAUCCAUUUCAAGAGUCCAUAUCGACAAGUGGGUUUACGACCUCGAUGUUGGAUCAGGGUAUCCCAGUGGUGCAGCCGCUACUAAUGGUUCGUUUGUUCAACGAUUAAAACCC
This 582-nucleotide ribosomal RNA is filed under the name Scinax fuscomarginatus (brown-bordered snouted treefrog). RNAcentral's name for it is "partial 16S ribosomal RNA". It matches the Rfam family "Bacterial large subunit ribosomal RNA", at positions 1829 to 2596 of the family's 2925-position model. The record is from RNAcentral. Lineage: Eukaryota; Metazoa; Chordata; Amphibia; Anura; Hylidae.